AGUGGCGGACGGGUGAGUAACGCGUGAGAAUCUGCCUUGGGGUCGGGGACAACCACUGGAAACGGUGGCUAAUACCGGAUAAGCCGAUUGGUGAAAGAUUUAUUGCCCGAAGAGGAGCUCGCGUCUGAUUAGCUAGUUGGUGAGGUAAGAGCUCACCAAGGCAGCGAUCAGUAGCUGGUCUGAGAGGACGAUCAGCCACACUGGGACUGAGACACGGCCCAGACUCCUACGGGAGGCAGCAGUGGGGAAUUUUCCGCAAUGGGCGAAAGCCUGACGGAGCAAGACCGCGUGAGGGAGGAAGGCUCUUGGGUUGUAAACCUCUUUUCUCAGGGAAGAAGCUCUGACGGUACCUGAGGAAUCAGCCUCGGCUAACUCCGUGCCAGCAGCCGCGGUAAUACGGAGGAGGCAAGCGUUAUCCGGAAUUAUUGGGCGUAAAGCGUCCGCAGGUGGCGAUUCAAGUCUGCUGUCAAAGCACGGGGCUUAACUCCGUAAAGGCAGUGGAAACUGAAUAGCUAGAGUGCCGUAGGGGUAGAGGGAAUUCCCGGUGUAGCGGUGAAAUGCGUAGAGAUCGGGAAGAACAUCGGUGGCGAAGGCGCUCUACUGGACGGCAACUGACACUCAGGGACGAAAGCUAGGGGAGCGAAUGGGAUUAGAUACCCC
Molecule: ribosomal RNA, 660 nt
Filed under: uncultured bacterium
Lineage: Bacteria
Description: bacterial SSU rRNA
Rfam family: Bacterial small subunit ribosomal RNA
Source: RNAcentral